CUGACGACAGGUGUGAUGGGUGACCCUACACCUGCCUGCGGCGGCGAACCGCUGCCGGGAGUUAGCCGGCAUCACCUGACCCUCCGCGGGAUUACCGAGAGGUGGUGCGGCGGCGUCUCCCUCACGUGACCGGGCUCGGCGGCGUCGGCCGCGUCACGCUCCGCGCAAAGCUCUGGGUCAGUCAAGGUCUGCGCCUGCGCCGGCUGGCAGGCCCACGAACCUGCCGGCGGGCCGCUACCAGGCGUGGAAGCCGGGCGCCCGCGGCGAUGGGGAAAUCCAGUUAUCACAGUUGACUCUGGAAAGUGAACCUAACAGACCAGUAACAAUGGAAGAAAUUGAGAAGGUCUUUGUAAAGCUACCAUCCCCCAAAACACCGGGCCCAGGUGGUGUUUCAGGUUAAAAAAGUCCUUUGUGAC
This 416-nucleotide long non-coding RNA is filed under the name Moschus moschiferus (Siberian musk deer). RNAcentral's name for it is "lncRNA (ENSMMSG00000008910.1)". Lineage: Eukaryota; Metazoa; Chordata; Mammalia; Artiodactyla; Moschidae. The record is from RNAcentral.